Molecule: long non-coding RNA, 4585 nt
Organism: Canis lupus familiaris (dog)
Lineage: Eukaryota; Metazoa; Chordata; Mammalia; Carnivora; Canidae
Exons: 5
Source: RefSeq, a predicted model, not a curated record
CCGCCCAGCUAAUGCGCCUGCGCGAGAUUUGAAAAGGGGUCAAAGGUGGGCGAGAUUUUGAAAGGAGUGGGCGAGGAUUUGCUUUUCCCCCGCCGGGUCGGGGGCGCUUGUGUCUCGUAAGCUUGGGAGUUUCCCCGGUGGCAUCUGAAAGUUGGCGGCGCCUGGCACGGAGGGCAGGGAGGGGGCCGAAGAGAGCGAGCGAGCGAGCACUCCAGAAGGAGAGGAUAACCACUGGAGUCCACCAUGCUGGAGCCCCUGCUGGCUGGAGAGGAGAAGCAUGCUUGGUGUGCCAUCAACACCUCAAGAGUACUAUUGCAGUGAGCAAAGUAUGGAUGGCAAAGCCAGAUUCCUUGGGCCUGAGAUAAAACUAAGACACAGUGGGAUUAAGUGGCUUGCCCAGCUAGUAAGUAGCAGAGGUGGGAUUUGAACCCAGAUGGACAAUUGAGCAGCACAGUCCACAUUUGUAAUCAAGGCUCCAGCUGGCCUCUCCAAAGGCCUGUUGUGAAAUGAGCCAGUCUCUUCGUCGGUGCUCCCCCAGGGGAAAUUCUCAGAUUAAAAUGUGAGAAAUCCCUAUGUUGGCUGCUGCGUUAGUUACUGAGAGCUACUAUAACAAAUUACCACAAACCCAAUGGCUUAAAACAACAGAAAUUUAUUGUUUCCAUUCUGGAGUAAGAACUGAAACUAAGGUGUUGGCAAGGUUGGUCCUUUUGGAGGUUCUGAGGGAGAAUCUGCUCUGUGCCUUUCUCCUUGACUCUGCUGGUUUCAGGCAAUCCUUGGUGUUAUUUUGCUUGUAGACUCAUCACCCUGUCUCUGCCUCUGUCUCCUCAGGCACCCUCCUCUUUGUGUCCCUUCAGUUCUCACUCUCCUCAUCAGGGCAUCAAUCCUUGAUUUGGGGCCGGCUGUAAUCCAGCAUGACCUCAUUUAACUUAUCUGCAAAGUGCAUGUGUUAUCUGCAAAGACCCUAUUUCUAAAUAAGGUCACAUUCACAGGUACUGAGAAUUAGGACUUGAGUAGAUCUUUUUUUUUGCAGGGGGACAUCAUUCAACCAAACUCCAGUGGCAUGCUGAUAGGGCUUGAGUCUUGGUAACUCCCAGGCCUUGUUGGAAAUUUUGCCCCCCCUUUAUUUGGUUGUGUCUGGUUGCCAUGGAUCUUUAAAAUCCAUAUUUAAAUAUGUUUGUGUCCACUGAGGCUACAUAAUUAAACUCCAGAUCUGUUUCUAAAGGUUACCUUCCCCUUAAAAUCAAGCUACCAACCUGAUUGUGCAAAGCAGGAAACUAAGCAGGGAGACUGCCCCUUAGAGGAUCCCCAAGAACACUCUGUGCCGCUGCUCACGUGUUGACAAGGAGGAUGAAGCACUUCACAACUUAAUUCAACUCUAUUUUUCUUAAGUUUUAACAACCUACCGGAGUACAUCGUCAGGGGAUGUUAAAUCAAAAGCACAACUCUCCACGCCGUCUUUAAAUUUGAUGACCUUCGAGUAGACCCAGACAGGCAGCGCCAGAAUGAAGGAAGCUGCCCAAAGGCCCAAAUUGAUGCGGAUGGUCUUGUACCUCGUUCUCCAACUUGUAAGUCGAAAUGGUUGGACGAGAGCCAAGUACCUGCAAAGCCAGUUAAGAAGGGUUUGGGAACAAUCAAUAAAAGCACUGAGCUCCAAGGAUGAAAGGUUCAUGACAAGAGUAAAUUAUUAGUAUUAUUAUCUUCCCUGAAGCACACCUCUAUCAGGGUAAAAGAAAGUUAUAUUUUUUAAGAGCUGGCUGGUACCUGUAGAGAAAACAACUCUUGACCCUGCAAGUCUGAAUAAACCACUCACUGAAAUCGCUGUCAUUUCCACGAACACACUGAUAAUAGUGAAACUCUGCCCUGUGCAAACUCUCUCUUUGCGAAGGUGCUUCCCAUGUAGGCUAGGCUCUGGAAAACUUUGUCUCUGAGUGGGGGUUUCCUCCAGGAGGGAGAGGCCCUCUUUCCAGUAGGAUUUACUGACAGGGAGGCAGGAAGGAGGCCAGUGCACUGGCUAGUAGGAUCCCCUGGCAGGAUGAGGUUCUGGACCACUGGGACAGACGUUUUGCCCAGAUGGCCUUUUGGUGGGGGCCACCAGCUCCUGGAGGUUCAGGUCACAGAAGUUGCAGUGAGGAUAAACAGAUGUGGCUAGUACAGACAACGCAAAAUCCUCAGGGAACUUAGGCUGGAUGCCCGGGGGGGGAAAUGGGCUGAUUUCAUAGGGGAAGGGGCUUUCUUUCUUUUCAUUUUUUUUUUCCAUUUCUGAUCCAGUAAAAAAGGAUAAAUCGUUAAUUAAACUUGAAGUCCUGACAUAUCAAAUAUAUUUGGUUGUCUAGAAAAUCCAAGAAGAAUUUUUCAGAGCCAACUGAAAGCUAAAGGGUGAGAAAGAACCUAGAACCCAAGAGGAAGAGUAUUUGUGAGAGUGCAGUUUUGCUAGAGUUGCAGGUGUUGCAAGGCAGUAAUCACAGACAUUAAAUAAAUGCAAAACAUGUUCUGAUGGUCAUUUAAUUUUUAUAGAGCUACUUAAGGAAGAUUUAUAAAAAUUAAAAGAUUUCCUGUCCCUGUUCUUUCAAUUUUGUAUAAGAGACAGGACGUUUUAAAGGACACUUAGUUAAGGGACCCUUUGGCAUGCAGGGAGACACUUGUGGCCCAAGGUACCCCAGCCCCUCCUCCUUCUGCAUAUUGUACCUUCAUUACCUGUGGCUAAGGGGAGAAGGCCCUCUUCCCCUGCUGGGGAAAGAGAUGACGUGGUACUUGUACAACAGCCCAGCCGUCAUUCUGUCUGGGAUGAAAGGAUGAUGGAAUCAUGGCAUAAAGAGAUUAGGGAAUCUUCUCUAAUCCUCAUCCUAACACUCUCCUUUCCCCAUCUGAAAACCCUUCAAUGAUUUUCCAGCACCUUUGAAAUAAAAUUCAGAAUUCUUACCAUUAUUUGUAAAGUCUUUCUCUACCUGUCCCUCCCUGUCACUCAGGCUGUCGUUUGUGCCCGUCUCCCUGCUGGCCUUCCUUCAAGGUCUCUUCCCUUUCAGGGCCAGGUGCAUGCUGUCCUUUCUGCCGAGCAGAAGCUCCCUCUGAUUCAUCUUACUCUUCUGUUGAGUCUCUAUUUAACAGUCUGUGUCUCAGGAAAGCCUACCCUGAUCACUCACUGUCUAUAAUGGCCAAUGACUUUACAUGCAGAUUGUAGGGGAACUCUCCUUUUCCUUCCUAGUAUAUAUCAUUGUUUGGAAAUACACAUUUACCUGUGUGACUUUUCACUUAAUAUCUACAUCUUGGGAGUAGAAGCCCCACGAAGGCAGGAACCUUGACUAUCAGCUUAGUGCUGUUCUAUCAUCCUGUAUCCAGUGUAGUUCCUGGCCUGUAGUCUUACUCAAUAAAUAUUUGCUUAAUGAAUGAAUAACUAAAUAGGGAAUUUGGUUUCUACUUACUUUUGAUAUUCUAGAGAAUUUAUUUAUGAAAUUAGUCUAGGCAGCUUUCAUCUGGAGGCUUAUUUUUAAUAUUUUGGAUGUUUACAUAAUUUUUUUGGUAUGACUUGGAGGUAGGCACCCCCUAUUGAAAUAUUUCACACCUGUAGUUAUUACUAAUCAGAAAAAGAAAAAUGAAAAUUAUCAGAAACACUUGAAAUUUAUGUUCUAUUAAACUGGCAAUUAAAACCACUUAAAUGUAUAAGCAAUCAGGAUCACUGAUGGCACGGUCAUGGCCAAUACCGUAGUUAUGGCCUUGCAAAGAAAACUCCAUUUCUUUUUACAAAAUUGCAGAUAUUGGGGCACCUGGGUGGUUUGGUCAUCUGCUUUCAGCUCAGGUUAUGAUCCCAGGGUCCUGGGAUUGAGCCCAGCAUCAGUGUCCCAGCUCAGCAGGGAACUUGCUUCUCCCACUCCCUCUGCUGCUCCCCCUGCUUGAGCUUUCCCUCUCCCAAACAAAGAAAUAAAAUCUUAAACCCCCAAAUCGCAGAUAGUGAAGUUUUAUGCAUUUUGUACAGAUGGAACUGUAAGAAAUGCUGAAGAGGAAAAGAUUCAGGUUUACGGAAUCUUCACUUUUCUCUGGUGAUGGGAUCCUCUAGAGUGAGGGCCGAGCAAAGGAUAAGUGCCCAAGUGUCUUAAUACUAAAGUAAAAGUUUAGCAUACUGUGUCCAUUCGAUUUAAAAAAAAUGACAUUCAUAGGGCACCUGGGUGGCUCAGUCAGUUAAGUGUCUGCCUUUAGCUCAGGUCAUGAUCUCAGGGUCCUGGGAUGGAGCCCCAGGUCAGGCUCUCUGUUCAGCAGAGAGUCUGCUACUCCCUCUCCCUCUGUUCUCUCUCUCUCUCUAAGUAAAUAAAAAUCUUUUGAAAAAAUGACAUUCGGGUGUAUAAGAUACAUAUACACAUGAGCACAUAUACUCACAGAAAAGAACCCGGGAACCUUAGGAAAUGUGUACAGUUGGUCUGUUCCAACACAGACAAGGUCUAUUCACUUUAUUUUCAGUAAGAGGUUUACAGAAGACAUAUGACUUCCCUUCUUUUUUUUAAAAGCAUUCUUAAAAAUUUCAUUUAUUUAUUCAUGAAAGAAACACAGAGAGAGAGAGAGAGAGAGAGGUAAAGACACAGACAGAGGGAGAAGC